RNAcentral lists this ribosomal RNA (596 nucleotides) under uncultured Pasteuria sp. Its description in RNAcentral is "bacterial SSU rRNA". It matches the Rfam family "Bacterial small subunit ribosomal RNA", at positions 39 to 653 of the family's 1533-position model. Lineage: Bacteria; Bacillati; Bacillota; Bacilli; Caryophanales; Pasteuriaceae. The record is from RNAcentral.
GCGGCGUGCCUAAUACAUGCAAGUCGAGCGCGCUCCCUCGGGGGCGAGCGGCGGACGGGUGAGUAACACGUGGAUAACCUGUCCAGAAGUCGGGGAUUACCCCUGGAAACGGGGGUCAAUACCGGAUACGCCCUCCGGAUCGCAUGAUUCGAGGGGGAAAGGUGCCUUCGGGUGUCGCUUUUGGGUGGAUCCGCGGCGCAUUAGCUAGUUGGUGAGGUAAGGGCUCACCAAGGCGACGAUGCGUAGCCGGCUUGGGAGAGCGGACGGCCACACUGGGACUGAGACACGGCCCAGACUCCUACGGGAGGCAGCAGUAGGGAAUUUUCCGCAAUGGGCGAAAGCCUGACGGAGCGACGUCGCGUGGGUGAAGACGGCCUUCGGGUUGUAAAGCCCUGUUCAUCGGGAAGAAGAAAUGACGGUACCGGUGAAGAAAGCCCCAGCUAACUACGUGCCAGCAGCCGCGGUAAUACGUAGGGGGCGAGCGUUGUCCGGGAUGAUUGGGCGUAAAGGGCGUGUAGGCGGAUGUAUAGGUCGGGCGUGAAAGGCGCGGGCUCAACCCGUGUAAGCGUUCGAAACGGUGCAUCUUGAGUGCGGUA